GGGCCGUUAGCUUAGUGGCAGAGCACCCGGUUUGCAUCCGGGAGAUGCGAGUUCGAUUCUCGCACGGUCCACCA
RNAcentral lists this transfer RNA (74 nucleotides) under bacterium. RNAcentral's name for it is "tRNA-Ala". It matches the Rfam family "tRNA". Rfam says of the family: Transfer RNA (tRNA) molecules are approximately 80 nucleotides in length. Their secondary structure includes four short double-helical elements and three loops (D, anti-codon, and T loops). RNAcentral also lists the same sequence under 1 other name. The record is from RNAcentral.